GUUAAAAGGAGGUGUGGAGCAACACUUCAGAGCUGCUGCUGCUGCUUCCUGAUAGAGACCUCCUGGAGUGAAAGAGGGUGAGGGGCUACAUGUGCUUGUGAGCACCAGGGAACAAGAGUGAUUCCCCUGAGCUGGAGAGAGGACCAGAGAAACCACUCCCAGAGUGUGCCCAGAGAGGAUUCUGGGAUUUGUGGUCUGCUGAAAGCCAUUGAGGGCUAAACUCCACUGGAAUCUUUGGUACCAAAAUUCGAAUUUUGGUCCGAAUGAUGUCAUGACGCAAGCGUGAUGCCGGCGACAGUUGGAAGAUUCGUGAUGUCAGCGCCGGACACUUCGCCGCAACCCGGAAGAAACGCGCCAGGAGAUGUAAGUGAGGGUCAUCAAUGACCUCAGCAGCCAAGAUACUAUUGCUCUUUAAAACUACAGUUAAACAUUCAGUCCACUUUCCCCCCAUUAAUUACAGCAAAUUACAGCGCUAACACUGGCUCCCCCAACCUGACUGAACACAUUCCCUGUUAUUUUUCUCAAUCAGUUGUGUCUCACAGAGCAUUCUAUGAGACAAAUGCCUUUCCAGACAAUGUGCUAGCAUACCAGUGCAUUGUUUUCACUGUGGGAAUACAAACAGUUAACAUUGUAUCAGUGGUUUUUCUCCUCAAAUAGAAUCUUGCCCAUAAAUUUUCAAGUGAUAAACCAUAAAAUAACACAUCACCUUUGUGCCGUUAGUUAUACAAUUCUCUUAUAGAUUCACUGCAAUAUACUAUAAUAGAAACAACUUAUUGAUCUAUUG
Long non-coding RNA from Xenopus laevis (African clawed frog), 784 nucleotides. RefSeq lists it as uncharacterized. The transcript has 3 exons. NCBI's taxonomy places the organism in Eukaryota, Metazoa, Chordata, Amphibia, Anura, Pipidae. The record is from RefSeq and is a predicted model, not a curated record.